Molecule: transfer RNA, 85 nt
Filed under: Streptomyces paromomycinus
Lineage: Bacteria; Bacillati; Actinomycetota; Actinomycetes; Kitasatosporales; Streptomycetaceae
Description: tRNA-Pro
Source: RNAcentral
AGCGCUGAUCGGCGCGGUGUGGGCGGUCCAGCCGUCCUCGGGCGACGGCCGGUUCGUCAGACGGUCCGAGUCCCGCCGGGCGCUG